Molecule: ribosomal RNA, 462 nt
Filed under: Serratia marcescens
Lineage: Bacteria; Pseudomonadati; Pseudomonadota; Gammaproteobacteria; Enterobacterales; Yersiniaceae
Description: bacterial SSU rRNA
Rfam family: Bacterial small subunit ribosomal RNA
Source: RNAcentral
CACAGGGGAGCUUGCUCCCUGGGUGACGAGCGGCGGACGGGUGAGUAAUGUCUGGGAAACUGCCUGAUGGAGGGGGAUAACUACUGGAAACGGUAGCUAAUACCGCAUAACGUCGCAAGACCAAAGAGGGGGACCUUCGGGCCUCUUGCCAUCAGAUGUGCCCAGAUGGGAUUAGCUAGUAGGUGGGGUAAUGGCUCACCUAGGCGACGAUCCCUAGCUGGUCUGAGAGGAUGACCAGCCACACUGGAACUGAGACACGGUCCAGACUCCUACGGGAGGCAGCAGUGGGGAAUAUUGCACAAUGGGCGCAAGCCUGAUGCAGCCAUGCCGCGUGUGUGAAGAAGGCCUUCGGGUUGUAAAGCACUUUCAGCGAGGAGGAAGGUGGUGAACUUAAUACGUUCAUCAAUUGACGUUACUCGCAGAAGAAGCACCGGCUAACUCCGUGCCAGCAGCCGCGGUAAU